AUGAGAUUGUGAAUAAGUUACGAGAAACAAAACACAUUUGUGGGAUUACUGGAGAUGGUGUGAACGACGCCUCUGCUUUGAAGAAGGUCGGCAUUGGAAUUGUUGUUGCUGACGCUACAGAUGCUGCAAGGAGUGUUUCUGACAUUGUGCUUACCCAACCUGCCUGGGCUUAGUGUUAUUAUCAGUGCAAUGCUUACAAGUCGCACAAAACAGUCGUUGAUUCUAAAACGCUCCAAACUUGAUUCUAAAAUGUCACCAGACAGUCGUUGAUCCGACUUCCAAGUUUCAACGAGGAUACUAAGCCUUCUUCAAACCCAUCCAACGAAUCAAACUUCUGUUGUAGGGAGUAACUAAAUUAAUGGGUACGCCGGCAAUCCUAAAUUUGGGGCAACAAUGCUCCGUCGGGGAUUGUAAGCUCAUCGAUUUUCUUCCCUUCACCUGCGAUUGUUGCAAUAAGGUAAAGGGGUUGAAACUGACACCUCUAUGCUCAGAUUGAGUGGUCCGAGCCGUGGUCAGGGUGGGACCACCAGGACGAGCACGAGCACAGGCACGAGCAAUGGUGGUCAAGUGGAGGUGUGUCCAUCUUGUAAUGUGAAGUUUUCUAAGAUUGGAGAUUUGAUCACGUAGAGAAAGUUCAUGAGAAGAACGGUGUGAUGAAAGCGACGUUAGAUGUGUGCCCAAAAUGUAGCAAAGGGUUUUGUGACCCGGUCUCGCUUGUGGAGCAUGUCGAAAGAGAACAUCGUGGUACUUUUAAAGCUUUGACU
Molecule: long non-coding RNA, 764 nt
Filed under: Helianthus annuus (common sunflower)
Lineage: Eukaryota; Viridiplantae; Streptophyta; Magnoliopsida; Asterales; Asteraceae
Source: RNAcentral